RNAcentral lists this ribosomal RNA (252 nucleotides) under uncultured bacterium. Its description in RNAcentral is "partial 16S ribosomal RNA". It matches the Rfam family "Bacterial small subunit ribosomal RNA", at positions 524 to 776 of the family's 1533-position model. The record is from RNAcentral.
UACGGAGGAUGCGAGCGUUAUCCGGAUUUAUUGGGUUUAAAGGGUGCGUAGGCGGACGCUUAAGUCAGCGGUAAAAUUGCGGGGCUCAACCUCGUCGAGCCGUUGAAACUGGGUGCCUUGAGUGGGCGAGAAGUACGCGGAAUGCGUGGUGUAGCGGUGAAAUGCAUAGAUAUCACGCAGAACUCCGAUUGCGAAGGCAGCGUACCGGCGCCCUACUGACGCUGAGGCACGAAAGCGUGGGUAUCGAACAGG